UAAAAAUCCACUAAGCACUGCAUGCACGAGUGCCAAUUGUCACGUUAGAAGUUUCCAAAGUCAGAAGUGGGUGUACAGGUGUCGGCAGAGGAGACGUUCGUCCAAACGGACAUGGAUUGAACAAAACUGGAUUUUCGAAAAACUCUCCCACUCACCUAACCGUAGGAACGCUCCCUACGCUAUGAGCUUCAUUUUGGACCGAAUCACUUCCGAUUCUGUAACCGUGAAGAACAUAAGAAAAACCGUUGAGUGUAGAAAAGCCAUAGUUGGACAAGUCAAAAUCGGACUCUUAGGACGUUGUACUCACUGAUCCGG
Non-coding RNA from Vigna umbellata (rice bean), 315 nucleotides. Lineage: Eukaryota; Viridiplantae; Streptophyta; Magnoliopsida; Fabales; Fabaceae. The record is from RefSeq and is a predicted model, not a curated record.